CACGCGUACGCCGCCCGGUGGAUGGCUUGGCUCGGGCGCCGACGAAGGCCGUGGCAAGCUGCGAUAAGCCCCGGCUAGGCGCAUGCAGCCGUAGAACCGGGGAUGGCCGAAUGGGACUUCCUGCUGGAGCCUAAUAAGCUCCAGCGUCCCCGUAUGGGGACGGGAACCCGCCGAACUGAAACAUCUUAGUAGGCGGAGGAAAAGAAACCAAUAGGGAUCCCGGGAGUAGGGGCGACCGAAACCGGGAGAGGCCAAACCAAAUCCCCAGGGGAAACCCUGGGGAGAUGUGGUGUUGUAGGGCUUCGCCGCCGUCUCCCCGGGGAAGCCGAAGUGGCCUGGAAAGGCCCGCCGUAGAGGGUGAUAGCCCCGUAGGCGUAACCCGGGAGGCGAAUGGGCGAAGAUCCCUGAGUACCGUGGGUCGGAUAUCCCGCGGGAAGCUGGCGGGCACCGACCGCCAAGCCUAAAUACGUCCCGAGACCGAUAGCGUACUACGUACCGUGAGGGAAAGCUGAAAAGUACCCCGGAAGGGGGGUGAAAAGAGCCUGAAACCGGGCGGUUACAGACGGGUGUGGCCCAGAAGGGUAGAACCUCCUCGAAGGAAACCGGGGCGACCCGGGAGUACGAGAGGAGGGGACCAGGGUCACACUGUCCGUCUAGAAACACGGGCCGGGGAGUUCAUCCGAGUGGCGAGCCUAAGGGGUUCAACCCCGAAGGCGUAGGGAAACCGACAGACCCGCAGCCGGGGUAGACCCGGAAGCAACGAAAGCUUGGUUGUAUCCCGCUUUUAAGCGGGGUGCUUCGCGCAGCUUAGCUGCGCACCAAGCAAGUAGUUGUUUCCAGGUUCCCGGUGAGGGGUGGGGUCUGAAAGGGCCCGGAGUCACUCGGAUGAGACCAGAAACCGGGCGAUCUAGGCCGGGGUAGGGUGAAGCCGGGCGAAAGCCCGGUGGAGGCCCGAAGGGGUGCUGACGUGCAAUUCGCUCCCAUGACCCCGGUCUAGGGGCAAAAGACCAAUCUAGCCCGGUGAUAGCUGGUUCCCCCCGAAGCUGGUCACAGCCAGGCCUAGCCGGAGGUAGCCGGCGGGGUAGAGCACUGAUUGGGGGUAACGGGGUCGAAAGGCCUCGUCCUCCUUUCAAACUCCGAACCCGUCGGCGCCGUAGAUGGCUGGAGACGGGUUCCGGUGGGUAAGCCACUGGGCCGAGAGGGGAACAACCCAGACCCGGGUUAAGGCCCCAAAGUGCCGGCUAAGUGUGAAUCUUGAAGGGCGUCUCCAGCCUUAGACAGCGGGGAGGUAGGCUUAGAAGCAGCCAUCCUCUAAGGAGUGCGUAACAGCUCACCCGCCGAGGCUGGAGGCCCCGAAAAUGGACGGGGCUCAAGCCGGCCGCCGAGACCCGGGGGCACAGCCGCAAUGCGGCUGUGAUCCGGUAGGGGGGCGUCCCGAUGGGGCGGAAGCCGGGCCGUGAGGUCCGGUGGACCCGUUGGGAAUGCAGAUCCCGGCGGUAGUAGCAGCAAAGUCGGGUGAGAAUCCCGACCGCCGAAGGGGCCAGGGUUCCUCGGCAAUGCGUCGUCAGCCGAGGGUUAGUCGGUCCUAAGGCUGGGGGUAACACCUACCAGCCGAAAGGGAAACAGGUUUAUAUUCCUGUACCGCGGAGGUACGCUCGCGGCAACGCAAGCCCUUCUCCUGACGCCUCGGGGUAGGCCGACUGGGGUCGUCGCCCCAGCUAAGCUUCCGAAGCCCGGGGAGUACCGUAAUGGUGAGAACCGGGCGAAGGAGCGAAUGGCCUGCCGUUUUAGGCGGGUUCGGCCGAUCCCUGGGGCCCGUGAAAAGGGAGAAGGGAAGGAGCCUCCGCGUCCGUACCGAGAACCGACACAGGUGCCCCUAGGUGAGAAGCCUCAGGCGUGUCGGGUCGAACCCGGGCUAGGGAAAUCGGCAAAUUAGCCCCGUAACUUCGGGAGAAGGGGUGCCUGCGGUUUUAGCGUUAAGCUGGAACCGCAGGUCGCAGUGACUAGGGGGGCCUGACUGUUUAAUAAAAACAUAGCUCCCCGCUAGCCCGAAAGGGUGUGUACGGGGGGUGAAUCCUGGCCAGUGGCGGUCCGUGAAACCCGGGUACAACCGGGUGAAGCGCCGCUAAACGCCGGGAGUAACUGUGACUCUCUUAACGGGAAAGUCUCGCCGUUUAAAAUUACGUAAAGCUUAUGUAACUCUCAGGUAAAUGUGUAGUUAUUGAGAGGUUAGGAAUGGAAAAUAAAUUACUAACGGGUUAUGUACUCGGAUUUAUAGAUGCGGAAGCAAGUUUCUCAAUAAGUAUAAAGUUACAGAAAGGGUUAGCCUACGGAAUACGUUUGGAUCCAGUGUUCAGUAUAACACAGCAAGAAAAAGCACCCUUGGAGAUAAUCAGACAAGUAAUAGGAGUUGGAAGAAUAAUAAGAAAACCAGGACAAAGACAUCUAUACCUCUUAGUAAUAGACAGCAUGAAAGACCUACGUGAAAAACUAAUCCCAUUCUUAAAUAUAUAUGAAAAUGUAUUAACCGCUAAGAAAAGAAAUUAUGAACUAUUUAGAGAAAUUGUUGAAAAAAUGCUAAGAAAAGAACAUCGAAAACCUGAAAUCCUAAAGCAACUUGUAAAAAAGGCUUAUCUACUUUCAAACUUAAGUUCUAAAGCCUAUAGAAAAAGGAGACUUCAAGAAAUACUCUCCAUAAUAGAUUAUUAUUGUUCUAAGCGGCGGGACUUCCCGGGAGAAAGGUAGCCAAAUGCCUUGCCGGAUAAGUACCGGCGUGCAUGAACGGAUCAACGAGGUCCCCACUGUCCCGGCCCGGGGCCCGGCGAACCCACAACCCCGUGAACAGUCGGGGGACCCCCAGCGGGGAGAGAAGACCCCGUGGAGCUUUACCGCAGCCUGGUCCUGGGUUACGUUCGUGGGUGCAUAGCGUAGGCGGGAGUCGUCGAUCCCGGUCUCUUCGGGGACCGGGGGAGACGCCCAUGGAACACCGCCCACCCAUGAACGUAACCCUAACCGGGGCGAAGGCCCCGGGACACGGCCAGGUGGGCGGUUUGGCUGGGGCGGCACGCCCCCGAAAAGAUAUCGGGGGCGCCCAAAGGUCGGCUCAGGCGGGUCAGAACUCCGCCGUAGAGUGCAAGGGCAAAAGCCGGCCUGACUGGGCUCCGCAAAGCGAGGGGCCCAGGGGCGAAAGCCUGGCCUAGCGAUCCUUCGUGUCCCCCUCGGUGGGGGCCGGAGGUGACAGAAAAGUUACCCCGGGGGUAACAGGCUCGUCGCGGGCAAGAGCCCACAUCGACCCCGCGGCUUGGUACCUCGAUGUCGGCUCUUCCCAUCCUGGGGGUGCAGCAGCCCCCAAGGGUGGGGUUGUUCGCCCAUUAAAGGGGAACGUGAGCUGGGUUUAGACCGUCGUGAGACAGGUCGGAUUCUACCUGCUGGGGGUGUUGGCCGCCUGAGGGUAAGGCGCCCUCAGUACGAGAGGAACGGGGCGCCGGGGCCUCUAGUCUACCGGUUGUCCGACAGGGCACUGCCGGGCAGCCACGCCCCAACCGAUAAGGGCUGAAAGCAUCUAAGCCCGAAACGGGACCCGAAAAGAGGCGGCCAU
This 3598-nucleotide ribosomal RNA is filed under the name Candidatus Acetothermia bacterium. RNAcentral's name for it is "bacterial LSU rRNA". It matches the Rfam family "Archaeal large subunit ribosomal RNA". Lineage: Bacteria; Candidatus Bipolaricaulota. The record is from RNAcentral.